AUAAACGGCGAAAGCUCGCAAGAGCCUAGCUUUAUAUUAUUCCAUAACACCUGUGAACCAUUUGCCCUUCUCUCACGAGGGGGUACACUCUACAAACAUAACUGUAAUGAAUGUAAACUAUUAUAACAAUAAUA
RNAcentral lists this unclassified non-coding RNA (134 nucleotides) under uncultured Dioszegia. Its description in RNAcentral is "sequence contains ITS1". The record is from RNAcentral. Lineage: Eukaryota; Fungi; Basidiomycota; Tremellomycetes; Tremellales; Bulleribasidiaceae.